AUACGGAAGGUCCGGGCGUUAUCCGGAUUUAUUGGGUUUAAAGGGAGCGCAGGCGGAGAUGCAAGCGUGACGUCAAAUUUCGGGGCUCAACCCCGUCUCGCGUCGCGAACUGCGUCCCUUGGUUGCGGGAAGGGGAGGCGGAACUCGUGGUGUAGCGGUGAAAUGCAUAGAUAUCACGAAGAACUCCGAUCGCGAAGGCAGCCUUCCGGCCCGUCAACGACGCUCAUGCUCGAAGGUGCGGGUAUCAAACAGGAUUAGAUACCCUGGUAGUCCGCACAGUAAACGAUGGACACCCGCGGUUUGGCCUGUAUGGCUGAGCCGCCAAGCGAAAGCGUUAAGUGUCCCACCUGGGGAGUACGCCGGCAACGGUGAAACUCAAAUGAAUGGACGGGG
This 393-nucleotide ribosomal RNA is filed under the name uncultured bacterium. RNAcentral's name for it is "partial 16S ribosomal RNA". It matches the Rfam family "Bacterial small subunit ribosomal RNA", at positions 523 to 918 of the family's 1533-position model. The record is from RNAcentral.